AACGAACGCUGGCGGCAGGCCUAACACAUGCAAGUCGAGCGAGGACUUCGGUCCUAGCGGCGGACGGGUGAGUAACGCGUGGGAACGUGCUCUUUGGUACGGAAUAGCCCCGGGAAACUGGGAGUAAUACCGUAUGGUGUCUUCGGACUAAAGAUUUAUCGCCAAAGGAUCGGCCCGCGUUGGAUUAGGUAGUUGGUGGGGUAAUGGCCUACCAAGCCGACGAUCCAUAGCUGGUUUGAGAGGAUGAUCAGCCACACUGGGACUGAGACACGGCCCAGACUCCUACGGGAGGCAGCAGUGGGGAAUCUUAGACAAUGGGGGCAACCCUGAUCUAGCCAUGCCGCGUGAGUGAUGAAGGCCCUAGGGUUGUAAAGCUCUUUCAGCUGGGAAGAUAAUGACGGUACCAGCAGAAGAAGCCCCGGCUAACUCCGUG
RNAcentral lists this ribosomal RNA (433 nucleotides) under uncultured bacterium. RNAcentral's name for it is "bacterial SSU rRNA". It matches the Rfam family "Bacterial small subunit ribosomal RNA", at positions 29 to 507 of the family's 1533-position model. The record is from RNAcentral.